Small nucleolar RNA from Ornithorhynchus anatinus (platypus), 138 nucleotides. The record is from RefSeq and is a predicted model, not a curated record. NCBI's taxonomy places the organism in Eukaryota, Metazoa, Chordata, Mammalia, Monotremata, Ornithorhynchidae.
CCCCUCUCAGGAUUGCUCCUGGAGAGUUUCCAGUACUGUUCUAGUCUUGGCUAUGGGAGGGAGAAUCGAACAGAGGCAUACCUAUUCCAUUCCUAGCUUGGGCAGUGGCUAGUGAUUGGAAGGCAAUCUGCUACAGGU